UUCCAUGCUUCCAAGAAAAGCAUCUAGAGAGAGAAGUAGUGCCCGUACCGCAAACCGACACAGGUAGAUGAGGAGAGAAUCCUAAGGCCGGCGGAAGAAUUGCAGUUAAGGAACUAGGCAAAUUGACCCCGUAAGUUCGCGAGAAGGGGUGCCUGCGAGAGCAGGCCGCAGAGAAUAGGCCCAAGCAACUGUUUAGCAAAAACACAGGUCUCUGCUAAAGCGUAAGCUGAUGUAUAGGGGCUGACGCCUGCCCGGUGCUGGAAGGUUAAGGGGAACACUUAGCGCAAGCGAAGGUGUGAACUUAAGCCCCAGUAAACGGCGGCCGUAACAAUAACGGUCCUAAGGUAGCGAAAUUCCUUGUCAGGUAAGUUCUGACCCGCACGAAUGGCGUAAUGACUUGGGCACUGUCUCAACUGCAAAUCCGGCGAAGUUGUAGUGCGAGUGAAGAUGCUCGCUACCCGCGAUUGGACGGAAAGACCCCGUAGAGCUUUACUGUAGCUUAGCAUUGAAUUCCGGUAUUGUCUGUACAGGAUAGGUGGGAGACUGGGAAACUAGGGCGUCAGCCUUAGUGGAGUCAACCUUGGGAUACCACCCUGACAGUACUGGGGUUCUAACAGGACGCCAUGAAUCUGGUGACUGGACAUUGUUAGGUGGGCAGUUUGACUGGGGCGGUCGCCUCCUAAAAAGUAACGGAGGCGCCCAAAGGUUCCCUCAGAACGGUCGGAAAUCGUUCGUAGAGUGCAAAGGCAGAAGGGAGCCUGACUGCGAGACAUACAAGUCGAGCAGGGACGAAAGUCGGGCUUAGUGAUCCGGUAGUACCUCGUGGGAGGGCCAUCGCUCAACGGAUAAAAGCUACCUCGGGGAUAACAGGCUGAUCUCCCCCAAGAGUCCACAUCGACGGGGAGGUUAGGCACCUGAUGUCGGCUCGUCGCAUCCUGGGGCUGUAGUAGGUCCCAAGGGUUGGGCUGUUCGCCCAUUAAAGCGGCACGCGAGCUGGGUUCAGAACGUCGUGAGACAAUUCGGUCCCUAUCCGUCGCGGGCGUAGGAAAUUUGAGAGGAGCUGUCCUUAGUACGAGAGGACCGGGAUGGACUGACCUCUGGUGCACCAGUUGUUCCGCCAGGAGCAUGGCUGGGUAGCUAAGUCGGGAAGGGAUAAACGCUGAAAGCAUCUAAGCGUGAAGCCUCCCUCAAGAUGAGAUUUCCCAUAGCAUAAGCUAGUAAGACCCCUUGAAGAACACAAGGUUGAUAGGUCAGAGGUGUAAGUGCGGUAACGUAUUUAGCUGACUGAUACUAAUAGGUCGAGGGCUUGACCG
Molecule: ribosomal RNA, 1313 nt
Filed under: metagenome
Description: bacterial LSU rRNA
Rfam family: Bacterial large subunit ribosomal RNA
Source: RNAcentral